CAGUAGCCGCGGGAAUACGUAGGGUGCAAGCGUUAAUCGGAAUUACUGGGCGUAAAGCGCACGCAGGCGGUUUGUUAAGUCAGAUGUGAAAUCCCCGAGCUUAACUUGGGAACUGCAUUUGAAACUGGCAAGCUAGAGUCUUGUAGAGGGGGGUAGAAUUCCAGGUGUAGCGGUGAAAUGCGUAGAGAUCGGGAGGAACAUCAGUGGCGAAGGCGGCCAUCUGGGACAACACUGACGCUGAAGCACGAAAGCGUGGGGAGCAAACAGGAUUAGAUACCCCUGUAGUCCCUGUCUCUUAUAC
RNAcentral lists this ribosomal RNA (301 nucleotides) under uncultured bacterium. Its description in RNAcentral is "partial 16S ribosomal RNA". It matches the Rfam family "Bacterial small subunit ribosomal RNA", at positions 509 to 807 of the family's 1533-position model. The record is from RNAcentral.